RNAcentral lists this ribosomal RNA (433 nucleotides) under uncultured bacterium. RNAcentral's name for it is "partial 16S ribosomal RNA". It matches the Rfam family "Bacterial small subunit ribosomal RNA", at positions 29 to 507 of the family's 1533-position model. The record is from RNAcentral.
AACGAACGCUGGCGGCAUGCCUAACACAUGCAAGUCGAACGAGACCUCCGGGCUUAUGGGGGCUGGGGGGGUUACCGCGGGGUAACUAGCCCUUGGGUUCGGAAUACUUCCCCUAAGGGGAUCUUAAGACCGGUUAGGCUCUUCGGGCAAAGGAUUUACCGCUUUUGGAUGGGCCCGGGUUGGUUUCGCCGGUUGGUAGUGUAAAAGCAUGGCAAGGGGACGAUGCAUGGCUGGUCUGUUAGCAUGCCCCGCCACACUGGGAAUGAGACACGGCCCAGAGUCCUACGGGACGCAGCAGUGGGGAAUAUUGGACGAUGGGCGAAAGCCUGAUCCAGCAAUGCCGCGUGAGUGAUGAAGGCCUUAGGGUUGUAAAGCUCUUUUACCCGGGAUGAUAAUGACAGUACCGGGAGAAUAAGCUCCGGCUAACUCCGUG